AUACGUAGGGUGCGAGCGUUGUCCGGAAUUACUGGGCGUAAAGAGCUCGUAGGUGGUUUGUCGCGUCGUCUGUGAAAUUCCGGGGCUUAACUCCGGGCGUGCAGGCGAUACGGGCAUAACUUGAGUACUGUAGGGGAGACUGGAAUUCCUGGUGUAGCGGUGAAAUGCGGAGAUAUCAGGAGGAACACCGGGGGCGAAGGCGGGUCUCUGGGCAGUAACUGACGCUGAGGAGCGAAAGCAUGGGUAGCGAACAGGAUUAGAUACCCUGGUAGUCCAUGCCGUAAACGGUGGGCGCUAGGUGUAGGGGUCUUCCACGACUUCUGUGCCGUAGCUAACGCAUUAAGCGCCCCGCCUGGGGAGUACGGCCGCAAGGCUAAAACUCAAAUGAAUUGACGGGG
Molecule: ribosomal RNA, 398 nt
Filed under: uncultured bacterium
Lineage: Bacteria
Description: partial 16S ribosomal RNA
Rfam family: Bacterial small subunit ribosomal RNA
Source: RNAcentral